This 465-nucleotide ribosomal RNA is filed under the name Vreelandella stevensii. RNAcentral describes it as "partial 16S ribosomal RNA". It matches the Rfam family "Bacterial small subunit ribosomal RNA", at positions 338 to 795 of the family's 1533-position model. Lineage: Bacteria; Pseudomonadati; Pseudomonadota; Gammaproteobacteria; Oceanospirillales; Halomonadaceae. The record is from RNAcentral.
CCUACGGGGGGCAGCAGUGGGGAAUAUUGGACAAUGGGGGCAACCCUGAUCCAGCCAUGCCGCGUGUGUGAAGAAGGCCCUCGGGUUGUAAAGCACUUUCAGUGAGGAAGAACGCCUGGUGGUUAAUACCCAUCAGGAAAGACAUCACUCACAGAAGAAGCACCGGCUAACUCCGUGCCAGCAGCCGCGGUAAUACGGAGGGUGCGAGCGUUACUCGGAAUUACUGGGCGUAAAGCGCGCGUAGGUGGCUUGAUAAGCCGGUUGUGAAAGCCCCGGGCUCAACCUGGGAACGGCAUCCGGAACUGUCAAGCUAGAGUGCAGGAGAGGAAGGUAGAAUUCCCGGUGUAGCGGUGAAAUGCGUAGAGAUCGGGAGGAAUACCAGUGGCGAAGGCGGCCUUCUGGACUGACACUGACACUGAGGUGCGAAAGCGUGGGUAGCAAACAGGAUUAGAUACCCCUGUAGUC